CGCCCCAGCCGGAGGCCAGCAGCCGCCUUACGCGGGCCCGGCCCGCCCGGCGGCCUGCGGGGCUGCGGCCGCCCCGCCCGCGGGCUGGAGCCCAGCGCCGCGGCCGUUAACGGAAGCCCGGCGGGGCCGACCCUAAGAACGGCAGCGGGGACGGGGUCGCCCCUGCGAACGGCGGCGGCCGCGGCGUGCCCGAAACGGCAGCGCCGCCGUACGCGGGUGGCGAGGCCCGUUUGUCACCCUGCCUCGCAUCUCCCCCCCUCCCCGCCAUACCCGCCUGCCGGCUGAGGCGAGAGCGCCUGGUCAGAACGAAGUGGCUGAGGUGUCGAGGGGCGUCGCCGCCGGCCCCGGGCAGCAGCGGGGAAUCCCUGUUUUCCAGCCUCAAAGAGAGCAGCUCUCGGAAAACGAGCUGUGGUUAAGCAGCGUACUAGUGCAACGCGAUGGUGGAAAGAGCCGGCUCAUCUCCGUCUCUUACCUCCAGUAUGGCAGGCCCUCUGACGGGGACUUCAUCUGACCCAAGCUUACCAACUGAUCUGAACUCCUGUCCCUGAUGUCCCCCAAUGUCCCACCAGACCACGAGGAAGUCUAGACAGGAAAUUCUCACUCUUUCCUGCUUAAGCUGAUCUGCUUUGUAUGGAAUCAGUUGGGCCAGAGAGGACACCAAAGUGCCUGUCUUCAUGCUAAUCUGGCUUAUGUACCAUUACUUACUGAUACUUAUGUCACUUCUGUAUUGAGUACUUGUAAGUGAUUGGAUAUAUAUGUAUUUUAAUGGUAUUAAUGCACUUCUCUGGUUACCCAUGAUAUAUUCUACUUAUGUUAAAUUGGGUGAGAGAUUACAACACACUCAGGUACUGAAACAAUAGUUCUGAGGCCACUGAAAACAGGACCUCUGUAUCUGGAGAGAAGUAAUUUUGCUAAAUUUGUAAUACUCUGUUUAAAUGAAAUACAGGGAAUCGGACAGGACUUUAGGGAGAGUCCUACAGAAUUCUGUCAGGUCACAUGGGAUAUUAAAGAAGUAUCUGGAAGCACCUGUUGUUUUGUGCAAAUUUACAGUGUGAGGAAAUGGUUGUGAUUCUUAUGCUCAAAUAUAUGAUACUGAUUUUCUGUCCUGCUUAUCUCUCUUACUUAUCAUUGAAUAGAUGGAAUUGGAUACCUGAAGUUCUGAAUAUUUUUGGGAUUACUCUCAGCUGUAAUUAAUAGGAAAAGACAGUAAGUCUUGCUUCUACUGAGCCUGCCACCACAGCACCUCUUUCCAGGUGGUGACAGUAAGAACCACCAUCAGGAUUUAGACAUGUUUGCCCCCAGUUCGCACAUGUCUCAAUGUGCGUCUGUUGUAUAUAUGUAUAAUCCUAUUGUUGUAGCUUGUUGAUGCAGGUGGGGAACACCUAGGUUUUUGUGGAUCCUGUCAGCUUAAGCCUUUGUUUUUCCAUGUGCAUAAAAGGCUGAGAUAUUUUAUAUUGAAGUUACCGAAGCAAGGCCUAGGACCCAGUGACAGUUUAGGUGCCAGCUGAGCCAGUUUCAGACUGUGAUUUAAAACUUUAGAAGUGGCUGAAGCAGGAGGUAAGCAGGACUGCUAUCCUUUCAUAGCUAUAGUCUUGGAGCAUCUUUUUGUUUAAUAUAUAAUGUACAUUUCAGCAUGGAAGCAAGGUAUUCACUGCUGCUUGUGCAGUCAACUGCUGCUGGCAAGUGCUCACAAAUUUACAUAAGUGUUUUUUGCAAAAACUUUUGCUAAAUUAUGAUUGAGAAUCCAACCUGGAACUUUUUUUAGUUUGGCGCAUUGACCUUGAUUUAUCACCAAACAAUGCACACACACAAUUAUCACAACUGUAGCCUUGCUUCUGGAUUAAAUCUUUUGAUUCAGUUAUUAAAAACCUCCAGGUUUAAAAUGUGUAGAUCACAGGAUGCCAUAAAAGAUGCCAAUAUAUUCAGCUGCUGUGCUUGUGAAACUCAGAGAGGAAAGAAACAGCUAUGUUGUCUGUUAAUGCAGCCAUAUUUUCUGUAGCACGGUGCUGACAUCUUUAAAUGACUUCUUGCACAGAGGAAGUAAUAUAAUUCCAAAUGAUGCAGACAAGCAUGUUGUAUUUUGAUGACAAAAGGCACACGUACAGAACCAACUCAUGUUGUUUUCCCACUUGCAAGAAAUGAUGGAAACUAAACCAAAAGUUGUCUUUGUGCCAAGGUGUCUGUGUUAAGCAGAGACGCGUUUUUUUGUUCCUCUGUUGCCUUAUGCAAGUCACAUACACAUGGCAAUCUAGACACCUAGCAGGCACUGUAAGGGAUUAAGAAAGAGGGAAAAAGAAAAGAUGUCCUCUCCACUAUACAGAUGAAAACACCAAAAAUUAGGAAAAAUUACUUACAGAAUUUUAGUGUGUCCUAGAUUUAUGCAGCUUCUUGAAAUUAAGCACUGAGAUACCUAAUUUUACAUAUUAUUAAUUUUAAGAAAAUACCAUAUAUGAAGGUUCAUUUAUAAAAGGUCAGUAAAUGCUUUAA
This is a non-coding RNA of Phalacrocorax carbo (great cormorant), 2487 nucleotides long. The record is from RefSeq and is a predicted model, not a curated record. Lineage: Eukaryota; Metazoa; Chordata; Aves; Suliformes; Phalacrocoracidae.